RNAcentral lists this ribosomal RNA (284 nucleotides) under uncultured bacterium. RNAcentral's name for it is "partial 16S ribosomal RNA". It matches the Rfam family "Bacterial small subunit ribosomal RNA", at positions 123 to 406 of the family's 1533-position model. The record is from RNAcentral.
AACCUACCGAACUGUGGGGGAUAGCCGGCCUAACGGCCGAGUAAUACCGCAUACGCUCUCAGUGAGGCAUUUCAUUGAGAGGAAACCUACGGGACAGAUCGAGGGGCUCGCGGCCUAUCAGCUAGUUGGCGAGGUAACGGCUCACCAAGGCAACGACGGGUAGCUGGUCUGAGAGGAUGGCCAGCCGCAUUGGGACUGAGAUACGGCCCAGACUCCUACGGGAGGCAGCAGUGGGGAAUCUUGCUGCAAUGCGCGAAAGCGUGACGCAGCAACGCCGCGUGGGG